AGUUGGUGGGAUUUCACAAAGGCGGCCACAAGCCCUGGUCUUUGGAAGGGCCCCAUUAAGCAGGCACACUCCGAGCACAGCUGUCAGUGUUGAUCCAGUUGUUUGGCUUUGUAAAGAUGGAACUGUGGAAAGGCUGUCUUUGCUGCUUAACCUUAUGCAGUGAUUUUGACGGUACAAGCCUGAUAUUAUCGACUUAAAUCUCUUUGAAGAGCACCUGAAUUUUCCUACAAGCUGUAACAGAAGGCAGCAACCAGACCCCCAGUUAUGUAAGCAAUAAUAUAAUUGCUGUUCUGUUUGACAUGGUCAUAAUCUGAUUUCUGAUCGUAUGUUAACAAAUUAAGACAAUUCUGAGACAGAUAUUCAACAUCAUUAUUUUACUAAUCCACAUGUCUUUUUAAAAUUUCUAUUUUCUUUCAAGAAUGAAGUCUGUUCUCUGAGUUGUCUUAAUCUGUUAA
Long non-coding RNA from Cygnus olor (mute swan), 455 nucleotides. RefSeq lists it as uncharacterized. Lineage: Eukaryota; Metazoa; Chordata; Aves; Anseriformes; Anatidae. The record is from RefSeq and is a predicted model, not a curated record. The transcript has 4 exons.